This 497-nucleotide ribosomal RNA is filed under the name uncultured bacterium. RNAcentral describes it as "partial 16S ribosomal RNA". It matches the Rfam family "Bacterial small subunit ribosomal RNA", at positions 28 to 507 of the family's 1533-position model. The record is from RNAcentral.
GAUGAACGCUGGCGGCGUGCCUAAUACAUGCAAGUCGAGCGAACAGACGAGGAGCUUGCUCCUCUGACGUUAGCGGCGGACGGGUGAGUAGCACGUGGAUAACCUACCUAUAAGACUGGGAUAACUUCGGGAAACCGGAGCUAAUACCGGAUAAUAUAUUGAACCGCAUGGUUCAAUAGUGAAAGACGGUUUUGCUGUCACUUAUAGAUGGAUCCGCGCCGCAUUAGCUAGUUGGUAAGGUAACGGCUUACCAAGGCAACGAUGCGUAGCCGACCUGAGAGGGUGAUCGGCCACACUGGAACUGAGACACGGUCCAGACUCCUACGGGAGGCAGCAGUAGGGAAUCUUCCGCAAUGGGCGAAAGCCUGACGGAGCAACGCCGCGUGAGUGAUGAAGGUCUUUGGAUCGUAAAACUCUGUUAUUAGGGAAGAACAAAUGUGUAAGUAACUAUGCACGUCUUGACGGUACCUAAUCAGAAAGCCACGGCUAACUACGUG